RNAcentral lists this ribosomal RNA (433 nucleotides) under uncultured bacterium. RNAcentral describes it as "partial 16S ribosomal RNA". It matches the Rfam family "Bacterial small subunit ribosomal RNA", at positions 29 to 507 of the family's 1533-position model. The record is from RNAcentral.
AACGAACGCUGGCGGCAUGCCUAACACAUGCAAGUCGAACGAGACCUUCGGGUCUAGUGGCGCACGGGUGCGUAACGCGUGGGAACCUGCCCUUAGGUUCGGAAUAACUCCCCGAAAGGGGUGCUAAUACCGGAUAAUGUCUUCGGACCAAAGAUUUAUCGCCUUUGGAUGUGCCCGCGUUGGAUUAGCUAGUUGGUAGGGUAAAAGCCUACCAAGGCGACGAUCCAUAGCUGGUCUGAGAGGAUGAUCAGCCACACUGGGACUGAGACACGGCGCAGACUCCUACGGGAGGCAGCAGUGGGGAAUAUUGGACAAUGGGCGAAAGCCUGAGCCAGCAAUGCCGCGUGAGUGAUGAAGGCCUUAGGGUUGUAAAGCUCUGUUAACCGGGAUGAUAAUGACAGUACCGGGAGAAUAAGCUCCGGCUAACUCCGUG